RNAcentral lists this ribosomal RNA (116 nucleotides) under Pteropus alecto (black flying fox). The record is from RNAcentral. Lineage: Eukaryota; Metazoa; Chordata; Mammalia; Chiroptera; Pteropodidae.
GUCUAUGGCCAUGUCACUCUGAAUAAGCCCAAUGUCUGAUCUCAGAAGCUAAGCAGGGUCGGGCCUGGUUAGUACUUGGAUGGGAGACCACCUAGGAAGACCAGUUGCUGUAGGCA